RNAcentral lists this small RNA (926 nucleotides) under Spiroplasma leptinotarsae. RNAcentral describes it as "bacterial LSU rRNA". The stretch from base 431 to 926 matches the Rfam family "Bacterial large subunit ribosomal RNA", at positions 1 to 497 of the family's 2925-position model. Lineage: Bacteria; Bacillati; Mycoplasmatota; Mollicutes; Entomoplasmatales; Spiroplasmataceae. The record is from RNAcentral.
CGCCCGUCACACCAUGAGAGUUGGUAAUACCAGAAGUAUGUAUUCUAACCGUAAGGAGGAAGCGUACCAAGGUAGGAUUAGCGAUUAGGGUGAAGUCGUAACAAGGUAUCCGUACGGGAACGUGCGGAUGGAUCACCUCCUUUCUAUGGAGAUAUAGAAAUUUUCCAAUUUCAGUUAAUGAAAUUAUGUACAUAAGCAUUGUUCGGGUUCUAUAAAGUUCUCAGGGAUCGAUACCCUGGAGUCACUUGGAAGAUAGUGUCUCACACGAUCGUCAUUUGAAAACUAAAUAUUUGAGUAAAAGACAUUUUAUUUUUCUACGUUUAUAGAUUUUUUUAUAAAUGUAAAUUGUAACUUUUAAUUUUUAUUAAUUUUGUUAUAUUAGAAAACUAAAAUUUCAUUAGUUAUUAUAAUUGCAAAUAGGUUUUUCUUAAAAAAGAAUAGUAAGGGCAUAUAGUGAAUGCCUUGGGAAAUGGAGCCGAUGAAGGACGUGUCUACCUGCGAAAAGUUUCGGGGAGCUGGAAGUUAGCUUUGAUCCGGAAAUGUCCGAAUGGGGAAACCCAAUAUGAUUAAUCUCAUAUUAUCCAUAAAUGAAUUCAUAGUUUAUGUGAAGGGAACCAUGGGAAUUGAAACAUCUUAGUACCAUGAGGAAAAGAAAACGAAUGUGAUUCCGUAAGUAGCGGCGAGCGAAAGCGGAACAGGCCAAACCGGUCUACGGGCCGGGGUUGUAGGACUCUUGUUAGAGUUACAAAACUAAUAUAUAGCAGAAGUGGUUGGAAAACCAUGUCAUAGAGGGUGAUAGCCCCGUAUGCGAAAUGUAUUAGUCUCGAGAGAGUAUCCUGAGUACGGCGGGGCACGUGAAACCCUGUCGGAAUCUACCCAGACCACUGGGUAAGCCUAAAUACUACCAUUUCACCGAUAGUGAACCA